GAUCUGAAGCUAUUGCCUAGACCGAGCCCCCCCAAUCCCCUCCCACCCCCUGUGAAGGACUGUUUGGGCUUAACCCAGAACAGCUGAGAUACGUGACGGAGUGGGGGUGGGGGGUGUUUUGUUUGUCUAAACCACAGUUCAGUGUAUUAUGUACUCUAGGAGGGGGAAAAGUGGAUGAGCAGUUGUGCUCAAAAGCAUUUAUGCUUUUAGAGUUGUUUGUGGGUUGUUUYUAAAACUCUUUGGUAUUUUCACACGAGUCCUCCAAAUCAUCCCCGUGUCUUCAGGCAGGGAGCAGCUGAAGAGGUUUCCCCAGCCAGACCACAGCCCUUCAGAAGCUGAAGGGGGUCAGAGCUUGCAAAGUAGUCCCGAGCCUGGGUUUUGUUGUUCUCGGGUUUUUUUUGCUUGUUUGCAAGUUUGAGGGAAAGGGGGAAAAAACAGUGGAUGUCCUGUUUAGCAACUAGUAAUGUUAUUUGGCAUAGGGUUUAGGUUUAGUUGUGAUUGUCAGCUGGUUAAGUUUUCUGUAUCUUUCUUUUUUCUUUUUUUUUCCCCCUCUCUUUCUCUUUUUGUCUCAAGUAUGUGGAAGGCUCAUUUGAGAAGUACCUGGAACGACUGGGAGAUCCAAAGGAAAGUGCUGGCCAGCUGGAAAUAAGUGCUCUAUCAGUAAUCUACAAUGGUUGAAGGAUGGAGAAGAGGUGAAACAACUAGAAGCUGUGUAUAGUGGAAACGCCGUGUGGUAGUUAUAAGCAUGGCUAAAACUCGCAUGUGCGUUCUUGAAAGCUCUAGUAGUGAGGACUGCUUGGUGUGUAAACUCUGAAAUUUGUUUGAAACGUAACAUAAGCUUGCUGCAGGUGCUGGCUGUCUUGCUAAAAAUGCUGCUUUUUGCUGAACAAACAGUCUGACUCUCCAGUGGUAGAAAGAACAACCCUCCCUUUGCAAACUGGAUCUGUUCCAGUACUAAAUGAACAAAUUGGACCUUCCCAAGWGUUGCUAGCUUCCUCUACUGAGGCUCUAAUCCUUUCACAGGAGACUAAAUCUCUUAACCUUAACUGUCCCACUGGCUGAGCAGCCUGUCAUAAGUAUAAAUAUCUGAACUAAUAUAACGCAUGCUUUUGUUGUCUGUGACUGGAUGUAACUGACUUUCUCGGACACCUCUCUUUCCAAGAUGAGUGUAGUUUGCUCAUCUAGCUAUUGCUUUAUGAUAGCAUUAAUUUAUCAGAGAAAGUAUUYUGCUUGCUUUCUAUAAACCAACAGUGGAUUCUCCAAACAGCUCCUUUCAAACUUCUUCAUAACAUGGUUCUACUGAAAGUGCAGUCUUUCAAGUCUUGUUUUUCCUCUGCUUACCUAGUCGAGACUUUAUUCUGUACCGGUACCCUGGAAAGCCACCCACUUAUGCUACAGACAAUGGCUUUGAAGACAAGGUGAGGAGAAGUGAGGCGCCUUCCGACCCCUUCCCUGACUCCUCGGAGUCUGUAUCGCUUGCGUACCUGAACAGAGCUCCAGAGCUGGCUUCAGCUCAGGGAUAAGCAGGCUAUUUGCACAACAGUUAAUCAAAUUACAGUAGUUUCCCAUUCCAUCUGAGGAACGGCUUGUGUGCUGUUGCCCUGCCAAUUUUGUUUGUUAUUCAAGUUCAUUAUUGGAAACAAGUUUAAUUUUGGCAGGAAGAGGGAGCUU
This 1671-nucleotide long non-coding RNA is filed under the name Dromaius novaehollandiae (emu). RNAcentral's name for it is "lncRNA (ENSDNVG00000002992.1)". The record is from RNAcentral. Lineage: Eukaryota; Metazoa; Chordata; Aves; Casuariiformes; Dromaiidae.